This is a long non-coding RNA of Drosophila simulans, 5378 nucleotides long. RefSeq lists it as uncharacterized. The record is from RefSeq and is a predicted model, not a curated record. The transcript is spliced from 5 exons. Lineage: Eukaryota; Metazoa; Arthropoda; Insecta; Diptera; Drosophilidae.
UAAUAAUUAGCUUUAAAUUAACGUAUGUAGGUAUCGUUGCUUUUCCAUAUCAUUUGAACAUCAUGGGAACCUCAAGAUUGUUACUAAAAACGUUGGACAGCUCCAGAAAAGCUCUAGAAUUUUUGCAAAUGAAGCUGGAAUUUAAUUUAAUAUUUAGAACUUUGCCAAAUUGAAGGGACCAUGAAAUUUAAAUCACCGAAAAAGGAAAAUAAUCAAGAGGCGAGAAGGGCGAAUGGGUGGGGGGGGUCGGACAAAAGAGGGGCAGCGAGCGAAUUUAGGGGGCUGGGCCUCCACCCAACGAGCGAAAAAAAUGAAAGAAGAAAGCCGAAAAGGAACCGACUCGGGAAAACCUCAAGGAAAAUUGCAUUUGGAAACUUCCAAUCCCAGACGAGCGAAAAAGAGGGCAGAGAGGGAAAGCUCACCCAUACACGUGCACUCACACCAAUUGGGGGGCCAGCCAAUAUGAUUUAAACACUCACGCACACACACAGGCACACUCUUGCGAACACCUACAGUGAUGUUAACGCCGGCAGCGCAGUCGGCGUCGCCGUCGACGCCGGCAGAGAAGUGUGUGUUGUGUGCAUGACAAUUCAUCUCUUUCUUAUAAACGCAAUUUAUCAAACGCAAACGACGAGCGACAGCAAAAGAUGAAGACGACGACACGAUAUCAACUUGAUGUGGCGCCAUCUCGCUUGCUCCCGCUCACUCACUCAAGCAAGAACCGAAACAGAAAGCCAAAAACAAAAAAAUGGCACAUGAAGAAAAAUAGGAGUUGCCGUCGGCGCUCUUCUUCUUCUUCGCCGUCGCUGCGAAAUACGAAAAAAAAACAGCGAACACACAGGAACAGCAACAAAGUGACUGAAACCGCCAUAAUCUUGACAGACAAGUGCACGCGCUCUUUUCGCCGCGCUUUUAAUGGUUUGUUUUUGUCUGAAUUCGCCGAACAGCGCGGGAGAGAGCCACGAGCGAGAUGGCAUGCGUUGCAGUUGCGUUGGAGCGAGAGGCACUAAGUGUUUUAUGGCAACGCGUUUUACAGCUGUUUCACAGUUGUGCAGCCAUUGCAAGACUAGGCAUGUUACACGAUUUGAGAGUCAUUGGAGUUUCAGGAUCUUCAGUAUUUAGAGUUUUAUGUUCACUGUUUUUAUUUAUAAGGUAUGGAGUCGUUCAAAUCGUGAUUUACUAUUAUUAUAUUUAAACAUUUAUGGUUCACAUUUGGCUACGAACUGGACUGGAGAACUGUUAUGCUCUUAAAUCUUGCAAAAUGCCAUAAAAUACCCAACCAAGGAAAUGCUGCCAAACCGGCUGACUAAGCUGGCCAAAAAUAAUAUAAAACAUUUGUUGUUCUUGCUCGCCGGCCAUUUGCAUAACAGAAACAAUAAAAACAGCAACCUCAAAGAUUAAAAACCGAAUGAAACGAAAUUUAUAAAUUGAUUUCGAGCGCGACUAAAAAUAAAGCCAAAAGUUAAAAGCCAUGAGCCGAGUGACGGGGAAAAGCUGUGGGGAUCAGGAAUCGGAUUGAAAUCAGGAUUUUUGGAAUGAGCAAAUACCGAUUUCCCUUCGGAAAAUCUCCCACAACAAUUUUUACGACUGAUGAAUUGGACAUUUUUGUGACUUCAUGAGUGCGAGGAUGUCUAUAAAUUCAAUGAACUCGGCCAGAACCAUUUAUGAUGUCAAUUCCUGAUGUUUACACGCACAAAACCCCGAAUCCCGAGACACAGAGACAACUUUCACAUUUUACGAGUUUUAUAUGGGCCCUCAGUGCGAUGAUGAUGAUUACUAUGAUGAUUACGAUGACGCUAAAGACGAUGAUGGUAUUUUCACUUGAGAGUUUUACGAGCAACAAAUUGCGCUACAAAUUACACGAUAAAUAGAAAAUUAUGACUAGAGGCGAGUGUACAUAACCCUCGAGCGACCCUUUCGCCGUGGGCUCAUCGUAAAAAUGUCUCCCUCGUUCCCCGAAUGCUCGGUCCUACCAUUUCCAGCAAUCUUUUCCUGAGGAAUAGACCCAGACCCCCUCCAGUCUGCCUUUACAAGCUGUCAAAAAGUUUUUGUUUGGUGUAAAUUCAAUUGUUGCGCCGUUUAUUGAUAUUUCAUUUCGGGCCCAUUGCUACAGAGUUUUCCCAUUUCCCAUUCGAUGAUGCACUCGGAAAGUCGUAAAGUUGCGAGCCGACCAAAAAAACAAUGGCAAAGUUUUUACGACCGGAACAACAAGAUUUUUACCUUUUCAAGAACUAGAACUGCAAGUUGGAGGAGGAUUUCGGGUAAGGGUUAAUUUAUUGAGUGAUGGCCUUGUGGCCUUCAAGGACUUUCGGACCAUAACAGGUUGUCUGCUUUGGGUUAAGCAUAUCCAUAUCCACGACGGGAUCGUAAAUUUCCGGUUAAUAGGGCAUUUCACACCUAGCAAAAAAGCUGCAACCUGAAGCAACGUGCAACAUGCUGCAUUAACGAACCUGUCAAAAGUGACAAGUAUGCCGCUUAAAGUUGAGCAACUUAUCGACGGUUUCAUUAAGCACGGGUUAUCUAUGGGCCUUACUAUAUGUACAUACAUAUACACCCAACUGCAUCCUUGGCCACGUGGUCAAAACUGACAGCUCCCCAAAAGUGUUUUCCCUAAUUGAUGGGCUUCUUUUUUUUGGGGGGACAGGAGGUAAAGGUGGAGCAUAGGCAGGUAUUUUGUAAUUAAGCCACUUGAGCCCUCUCCAGAUUGAGUACAGUGGGCCAAAACGGUCGGCGGGACAGUGGGACAGACGGACGGACGGAUAGACAUGUCAAGUUAGCAAUUGAAAUAUAUUGCAGGUGGAGCAGUUGAGCGGCCAGAGGCAAACAAAACCAUCGGACAAACAUUCUAUCGCAAAGGUAAAUGCUUUUUUUGACACUGCCUAAUGCGACUUAAUGUUGCGGUUACGCAUUUUGUUCAGGUACAGUGCGGUAUGGUUAUAUAUAACCACGAAAAAUGUUAGAAAAUAAACAGAGUUUUUCCAAUUCAAAACAGUAAUACAUUCUUAAACAUAUGAAUUUGCUUUAAUAAAUACCUUUGAAAUACAUACAGCAUCGACUGUACUGCGUAUACAAAUUUAUUAAACACUUACUAUUUAUUAGCCUUAAAUUUUCUCGCCGCACUGUAUUCCUUUAUCUUUUUUGCUCUACCUCCAAAAAUAAUCAUGGGAAAUACCUUUGGUGGAGAAUGGAAUGGAACAUGCAGGUCGGUCUAUGAAAGCCACUCAAUCAUUCUGCUUCACUUCAUGGAAAAAAAUAAAAUAAAAAGAAACGUUUUAACUGAUCGCUCAAUCACUGAUAUACAAGUGUCUGUAUAUGGAGAUAUAUAUAUAUUUGUAUCAAUAUAUAUACUCGAUCGCUGGGUGGCAGACGUUGCCUGAAUUGAAUUCAUUGUUGAGGAGCGAUUUGGUUAAGUCACCCGCGUGAUUGUUUGCUUUUUGGCCAGAUAAGUAGCUCCGCUCCACCCUCUGAACCCCCUGGAAAAUUGGCUCCUGAUUCACCUGAGGCCAAAGGUCAAUCAACAGGUGACGGGGCUUUUUUCGUGGCUUCUGUGGGAAGAUUUCAGAAUUCCGAGACACCACGUUCAAGGGUGGGAAUUUAAAUUUUAUAUUGAUAACCAUUUACUCCAACUUUAUGGCCGUGCAAAAUUUGAUGACCGAUUUUAUUGGCUCACGGAUGUUAAAAUAUUUUCUGCACAUUAUGAGAUUCAGCACGCUGGAUGCGAUUUCUUUCUAAAAAGAUGACCCAUUUUGAUGUAAGUAUUUUAGUAAACCGUUUUCAAAUUAUAAAAAAAAAAACAUGUUUGCCCUUUUCCCUAAUCUCCUCAAGGACCGACAUAAAUUUGCUCGACUUCAUUCAUUGAUUCAAUUUACUUCUGCUCAAAGUUGACUCGUAAAUUUCUUCCCAAUUAAUGGGAUCAGGCGGAAUUUGCCUCAUCUUUGAGAAUUAACUGACUCACCCAGUUCCUUUGUGGAUUAUCUGCGAUCGGACUUCAUUGCGGUCAUAAUAUAAGCCAUCAGGCAAUUCGCAAUCUAAAUGUCCAGCUAAAACUACUGUUAAAACUAACCAGGCUGAAAAGAAAUCGCAUAAAAACAAAACUUGUCCGGCCAUUAUAAACCAAAGUCGUUGCUGCAUUUUGGGGCACGCAACGCAAACGCGAAGGGGCAGGAAGAAAUUUCAUUUUUACGAUCCGUGUGGGAUCGUAAAAUGUCUGGGCGACCGCGUGUGGAACGUUUAAUUUGAUGCUGAAAUACUGAUACUGAUAGGCCCGAACCGCGGGCACUUAAAUUGCAUAUAAAAGUGGCUUUUAUGAUUGGCCUUCUAUUAGCGAAAUCAACUAUUACGUGUUAAAUCGCACGAUCCACCCAGCCGGACAACAAGGGCCACAAAAUGAUCGUAAAAUUUAGACAGUUGUAAAAUUUCGAGUUGGUUUCCCUUUUCUUCCUGUGGUUCAGAGUGUGUAAAUCAAAGGAUGUGCAGCCAGGUUGGUGGUGCACUAAGAAAAAAUGCUACCUUCGAUUAUACUCAGGAAUGUAGUGCCUGAGAUUGAACACCACAUUGACUGAAUCUGAUCAGAGUGCAACACUUUCUACUGCUUCCUUAAGCACAUCCUUUUUUUUCACAGUGUAUCCUCCUAUCCAGGUCAUAGUUCGCCGGGCAAGGUGUCGACUUACAUGUGCAGCGAUGGAUGGCCGGCAAGCCCCUACCAAAAUAAAACUGAUGGAAUGGAGUGCGGUGGAGUGGUUCGAACCUUUGGAAUGGCAGCAGGCAGGAUCCGAGAUCCCUAGAUGCCAGGAUCUCCUGGCACAGAAAGCGAAAAAAAAGAAGGAAAGGGACAAGACUUCUGAAGGGAGAGGUAUAACCUUUAACCUCCGGAUCGGUCGGUCGGUUGUGCAUAGAGUGACAGCAGUGGAAACCACCCAGAGCCAUUGGAAUGUUCCAACACACACGCCAAAUGGCAAAUGCGAAAUGCGAUGCUGAUGCUUAAUUUCUGGCCAAGGAGUCGGAGGUGGCCACCAGUGGAGGAGCGGCUUGUGGAAUGGUUCGGGGAGCAGCGGCCUGUGGUGGGCCAAAUUGGAUGCCCAGCUGUGUGGAGCAGACUGUGCCAUAACUUAACACCUUCGCUGUUGUCUUCGCCGGAGUGCCAUGGUCAUUGCAUUUGCCAGGCAAAUGCGUUCUCGAAAGCGCCCCACAUGACCAGGAAUAGGGUGACUCAGGGCUAGAAAGUUUGGAAAUAAAUCAAAUAUUUUCAAACAGUACUUAAACUCGAGAUUCAACUAUUGUAUUUCAAAUAGUUACUAGCUAUAUCUCGUGAAUCCUAUAUACUACUACUUACUUCAAUCCCUUAUUAAAGUGUGUUUUCCUACCUAUAUCCAAAUAAA